This 811-nucleotide ribosomal RNA is filed under the name Micrococcus sp. RNAcentral's name for it is "bacterial SSU rRNA". It matches the Rfam family "Bacterial small subunit ribosomal RNA", at positions 617 to 1424 of the family's 1533-position model. Lineage: Bacteria; Bacillati; Actinomycetota; Actinomycetes; Micrococcales; Micrococcaceae. The record is from RNAcentral.
GGAUCUGCGGUGGGUACGGGCAGACUAGAGUGCAGUAGGGGAGACUGGAAUUCCUGGUGUAGCGGUGGAAUGCGCAGAUAUCAGGAGGAACACCGAUGGCGAAGGCAGGUCUCUGGGCUGUAACUGACGCUGAGGAGCGAAAGCAUGGGGAGCGAACAGGAUUAGAUACCCUGGUAGUCCAUGCCGUAAACGUUGGGCACUAGGUGUGGGGACCAUUCCACGGUUUCCGCGCCGCAGCUAACGCAUUAAGUGCCCCGCCUGGGGAGUACGGCCGCAAGGCUAAAACUCAAAGGAAUUGACGGGGGCCCGCACAAGCGGCGGAGCAUGCGGAUUAAUUCGAUGCAACGCGAAGAACCUUACCAAGGCUUGACAUGUUCUCGAUCGCCGUAGAGAUACGGUUUCCCCUUUGGGGCGGGUUCACAGGUGGUGCAUGGUUGUCGUCAGCUCGUGUCGUGAGAUGUUGGGUUAAGUCCCGCAACGAGCGCAACCCUCGUUCCAUGUUGCCAGCACGUCGUGGUGGGGACUCAUGGGAGACUGCCGGGGUCAACUCGGAGGAAGGUGAGGACGACGUCAAAUCAUCAUGCCCCUUAUGUCUUGGGCUUCACGCAUGCUACAAUGGCCGGUACAAUGGGUUGCGAUACUGUGAGGUGGAGCUAAUCCCAAAAAGCCGGUCUCAGUUCGGAUUGGGGUCUGCAACUCGACCCCAUGAAGUCGGAGUCGCUAGUAAUCGCAGAUCAGCAACGCUGCGGUGAAUACGUUCCCGGGCCUUGUACACACCGCCCGUCAAGUCACGAAAGUUGGUAACACCCGA